Molecule: ribosomal RNA, 371 nt
Filed under: uncultured eukaryote
Lineage: Eukaryota
Description: partial 18S ribosomal RNA
Rfam family: Eukaryotic small subunit ribosomal RNA
Source: RNAcentral
CAAUAGCGUAUAUUAAAGUUGUUGCAGUUAAAAAGCUCGUAGUUGAACUUGUGCGUGUCCCUGAUGUCCUUUUUGGUACGUUUGGGGGCGUGCAUCCUUGGGUGGAACCUGUGUGGCAUUAGGUUGUCGUGCAGGGGAUGCUCAUCGUUUACUGUGAAAAAAUUAGAGUGUUCAAAGCAGGCUUAUGCCGUUGAAUAUAUUAGCAUGGAAUAAUAAGAUAGGACCUUGGUACUAUUUUGUUGGUUUGCGCACCGAGGUAAUGAUUAACAGGGACAGUUGGGGGUAUUCGUAUUCCAUUGUCAGAGGUGAAAUUCUUGGAUUUCUGGAAGACGAACUACUGCGAAANCANNNACCAAGGAUGUUUUCAUNAA